GACGAACGCUGGCGGCGUGCUUAACACAUGCAAGUCGAACGAAGUGGCGAACGGGUGAGUAACGCGUAAUCAACCUGCCCUUCAGAGGGGGACAACAGUUGGAAACGACUGCUAAUACCGCAUACUGAAGGUGGGGAUUGCGUCUGAUUAGCUAGUUGGCGGGGUAACGGCCCACCAAGGGGAUGAUCAGUAGCCUGGCUGAGAGGAUUGACGGCCACAUUUGGACUGAGACACGGGCCAGAAUCCUACGGGGGGGAAGAGUGGGGAAUCAUCCGAAAUGGACGAAAGGCUGACGGCGCAACGCCGCGGGAGUGAUGACGGCCUUCGGGGUGUAAAGCUCUGUUAAUCGGGACGCGGUACCGGAAUAGAAAGCCACGGCUAACUACGUGCCAGCAGCCGCGGUAAUAC
RNAcentral lists this ribosomal RNA (408 nucleotides) under uncultured bacterium. RNAcentral's name for it is "partial 16S ribosomal RNA". It matches the Rfam family "Bacterial small subunit ribosomal RNA", at positions 28 to 526 of the family's 1533-position model. The record is from RNAcentral.